This 402-nucleotide ribosomal RNA is filed under the name uncultured bacterium. RNAcentral describes it as "bacterial SSU rRNA". It matches the Rfam family "Bacterial small subunit ribosomal RNA", at positions 355 to 775 of the family's 1533-position model. The record is from RNAcentral.
UAGGGAAUAUUAGUAAUGGGCGCAAGCCUGAACUAGCAACGCCGCGUGUGCGAAGAAGGCCUUCGGGUUGUAAAGCACUUUUUGAGAGGAUGAGGAAGGACGGUACUCUCAGAAUAAGUCUCGGCUAAUUACGUGCCAGCAGCCGCGGUAACACGUAGGAGGCAAACGUUAUCCGGAUUUACUGGGCGUAAAGCGCGUGUAGGUGGUUGGUAAGUAGGGCGUGAAAGCUCCUGGCUCAACUGGGAGAGGCCGUUCUAAACUGCCGAACUAGAGGAUGGUAGAGGGAGGUGGAAUUCCGGGUGUAGCGGUGGAAUGCGCAGAUAUCCGGAGGAACACCAGUGGCGAAAGCGGCCUCCUGGACCAUUCCUGACACUCAGACGCGAAAGCUAGGGUAGCAAACGG